UUCAGCUGCCCGAGGCGGAAUGCAUCAGGAAUAUGAACAUAGCACUUAAACCCGAUUACUCUGAGAAGAGAGCAGUCUGGAACCUUGUUCGAUAACAAUUCCAUUGGAGACUUUCUUUCCAGGAGACGAAACUCUAUUUCUCACAUACAUAGCUGUCAUGACUGCUUUAGCCCAAAAGAUUUUCCGAAGAUUCAUGUCAAUCAUCAUUGCCCUGGUCAUGUCAAGCAGAUGGCGUCCUUUUUGUGACUCGCUGUGGAGUAGAUGCACCUUCUAUGAACAAUCCCUUUCGACUCCAGAAACUAACUUUGCAAACUCUUAUUACAUUACAUGAAUGAACCUCC
This 341-nucleotide long non-coding RNA is filed under the name Amborella trichopoda. RNAcentral's name for it is "long non-coding RNA (ATRI_LNC003558)". The record is from RNAcentral. Lineage: Eukaryota; Viridiplantae; Streptophyta; Magnoliopsida; Amborellales; Amborellaceae.